GUGAAUCAUCGAAUCUUUGAACGCACCUUGCACCUUCCAGUACUCUGGAAGGUAUGCCCGGUUGAGUAUUAUGAUCACCUCAAACCCUAUGAUUUUCUUAUUGCAAAGACCAAUGCUCUGACGAAAGCACUCAUUGGGGUGCUAGUAGUUGCUGCUUGGUUUGGAAGAUCUUAGGUCUUGGACUUGAGCACUGUUGGUUCCCUCUGGAUCAACUUGCUUGAAAUGUAUUAGCUGGCGACCUGCCUUCAAUGGUUACCACUCGGCGUAGUAAGUCUUAUUCGUCGAGGACACCUUGUACCUUCAUCGGAACAGGUGGCCAUUGUGCUGUGUCUUGAUAGCCGCUUCUAAUCGUCUCUGGACAACAUAACGAACUCUUUAAUCUCAACUCGGGUAGGACUACCCGCUGAACUUAAGCAUAUCAAUAAGCGGAGGAAAAGA
RNAcentral lists this ribosomal RNA (438 nucleotides) under Tulasnellaceae sp. CBS 606.93. RNAcentral describes it as "eukaryotic LSU rRNA". The stretch from base 377 to 438 matches the Rfam family "Eukaryotic large subunit ribosomal RNA", at positions 1 to 62 of the family's 3401-position model. The record is from RNAcentral. Lineage: Eukaryota; Fungi; Basidiomycota; Agaricomycetes; Cantharellales; Tulasnellaceae.